Molecule: transfer RNA, 69 nt
Filed under: Ooencyrtus plautus
Lineage: Eukaryota; Metazoa; Arthropoda; Insecta; Hymenoptera; Encyrtidae
Description: tRNA-Ser
Source: RNAcentral
AAUUAUUUAGCUAUCUAAGCAAUAUGUUUUGAAUACAUAUUAUAGAAAAAUUAAAUUUUCUAAUAAUUU